UGUAUUUGAAGUUGGUACCUUACUAGCUACAAUCACUAAACUCACAUUCCCAUCACAAGUUACAUCUAAGAUUUUGUGGGCCGUGAGGUUUUACAAAGGAUUAGUGAGGUAGCCUACAAACUCAAGUUGCCAGCCAAUACAAAAAUACAUCAUGUCUUCCAUGUAGGGAUGGGCAACGGUUAUAGCAGGCGGGUAACCGCAGUUAUUUACGCAUAAUCAUUUAUGUUCAGACCGGUAUAACCGUUUACCGUACGGUAAUUGCAUAAAUGGUUAUACCCAUACCCAUAACAGUUUAUAAACGGUUAACAAUACCCAUAACCGAGUACCCAUUUAACCAUAACCAUUUACCCAUUUAACCAUAACCGUUUACCCAUUUAACCAUAACCAUUUACAUAUAUUUACGUAUCUCACUUUCUAUAACACACACACACACAUAUAAUAACAGAUGUAAGGUAUACAAAGAAUUCCUCUAUCUAACUUGGAAGUUGAGUUUCCUAAUGCAGAAGGCAAACAUGAAGGCGAAGAAGACUCCGAAUCCAACUAGAACUCCAGCCACUGGUCCCUUGAAAUCUGAUUCAAAUCCGUAACGGUCUUUUAGGUACCAUUUCACAGUUGGGUCAGGUGUAUACCCAGGUGCUUUAAUGGUCUCCUCAAUGUCACCAUACUGUGUUACAAUCAAUCCAUACACCGUCCAUGCCACGGGACAUAUCCAGUAGUACCAAAUCCACCAACCGGGUAUUUUCUGAAAAUUCAAAAGAUAAAGAAUUCGUGUUAACAUACUUUUAUAACGAGUUUUAGUCACUUCAUCACCGCUGGGGACGAAAAUCGAAUCACCAACUGUUAAAUCAAAAUCCAAUAGUUGAGAUGCAAACUCGAUUCAGAACACUUAAUCAUUGGAUUUUAAUCAGUUGGAAAAUGAUUGCUGUGAUUUUGUUGAUCAAUUUAGACCAAUAAAUCACAGUAUUAUUAUAAUCCAAUUUAAAUUGAAGUAUAUGCUUGUGGGAAGAAAAAUACUAGUACUUACUGGUCUUGGAAUGAAGAAACCGGAGAAGAGAUUGAAGACUGAAUAGAAAGCUGCGGCGAAUAUGGCUGCUACUUGGUGGUUCGGUGUGAUGGAAACGGUCAUCAUGCCGUAGUAUGUGAAGUAAAGGAAGGAGAAGAAGUUGAUAAAGAAGAACCAGAAGAAUUUUCCUGCUUCCCAUUGGAAGCUCACCAUAGCAUACACUAUCAGUGUAUAAUACGUGGUCUGGAUAAACACAUAUGGUAUUUCAAUAAUGACCUGCAUGUCAUACAAAUGGUUUAUUUUAGUCAGUCAGAUGACAAUUUUUUCUAUAGCAACAAAUAUCGAUUUAUAAUAGUGUUAUACAUGAAACUAGGAUCAAUACUAUAUAUGUGCACAAUGUGAGUUAACGUAAGUAUUUAUUCUCCCUUCACCUGUGCCAGUGCAUAAGGUAAUGCAGAGUACAUCCCAGCAGCUCUUUCUCGAUAGAAAACUGUUCUUCAAUGGCGACCACGGGUUGCACCGUUGUGCAGUUAUCAAAUCCGACGAAAAAGACAGCAGCGUACAUCGCCCCGAUAACCAUGGUCAAAUCAGAACUGCUUUCCCUGGAUAAGGAGAAAUAUAUAAUUAGCAAGAAAUUGGUGUAUGGAAUCUCUUGAACGAAAACUUUUAUAGUCAAAAGAAUGAGUACUAGUUGAAGUUUGAAAUAGUGAAACUUUGAGAUAAGCACACACAUUUUUGAGCCAACAUCCCAGAAAAUAGAUCCAACGAGAAGGGCUGCUGCCAAGGUAAAAAAGAAUCUGACAAGGUUAUAAUCAGGACUUCUCCAAUACGUCCACCACUGCUUCCAGAGGCAAGACUGGAAUUGCUUCCAUGACGGCUGAGAAAACUGAGUGGGAAAAUAGAGGUCGUUUGCUCCUGCUGGUGGUGUGCUCAACUCAUUUACUAAAGCUUUGUUUCUCCUGGUCAUAAAUAUUGGAAUAUAAGUUUUAUAUCUUCCAAAAACCAGCCAAUUUCGAACCCUGCAACUAAAUAGUAUUAUUUACAUUUUUUUUCUACUUACUGAUACAAGGCAGAUGAUUUGUAGUAUUGAGCAAAGUCCAUUCCAAGCCGGACCUCAAUUGACGUUGAGCUCGCCUCAAGCAUCCAUGUAGCUGGAUUGUACUUCUCUUUGAUUUUUGGCACGCCAGGAACCGCCUGGAAUUAAGUUGGUAAGUUUACACUUGGAUGACAAUGCCUUUGAUUAUUUCUCUGUACAAAAUUAAGAUACGAAAAAAGUUGCACGCAGAUAAAAUACCUCAAAAUAUUCAACAAUCUUGUGAGAAUUGCGGCCCAGUGGUCCUAAGUAGACAACUUGUCCUCCUCUCUUCAUCAGUAGCAGCUCAUCGAAUGCCUCAAAGAUAUCUAUGCUAGGCUGAUGAAUUGUGCAAACAACUGUUCUCCCAGUGUCCACUGUAUUUCUAACAGUCCUCAUAACGAUGGCAGCUGCCCUUGCAUCAAGACCUGAUGUUGGUUCAUCCAUGAAAAUAAUUGAGGGAUUGGCAACAAGCUCAACUGCAAUCGUUAACCUCUUUCUUUGUUCUGUUGACAGCCCUGAAACUCCGGGAAGCCCUACCAAAGCAUCUUUAAGAUUGUCCAGCUCAACCAGUUCCAUCACUUGAUCUACAAAAAUCUGCAAACAUAUAUAGUAUAUGCAGUUCAGCAUUUAAAUAAUUGCACUAUGCUUUGUUAAGAGAAGCAGUGCAAGUCAUGGUUUUACCAUCUUUUCCUCGUUGCUGACUUCUUUAGGGAGUCUAAGGAAAGCUGAGUAAACCAACGAUUCUUUGAUAGUGACUUGGGGUGAGUGGAUAUCAGUUUGUUCACAGUAACCAGAAAUUCUUGCAAAGGUUUCUUGCUUCUUAGGGUACCCAGAAAUUCUAAUGUCACCUUCAAUGUAACCUCCGGUCUUUCUUCCUGCUAAGACAUCCAUCAAAGUUGUCUUCCCAGCCCCACUUACCCCCAUUAGGGCAGUCAAGACCCCAGGCCUAAAUGCACCAGUUACUUCACGAAGUAGUUGCAGCCUGUCCUCUGCUACUCCUUCCUCCUUCAUUUCCUGUUAUAGUGAACUAAGUUAGCUAAUUAAGUAGUGAAGUUGGACUACAAGAUAAUGUUUCAGAUAAACAAAGAGUGAAAUACAGAAAAAGAAAUAUUACAGCGGGCAUGUCCACGAAAUAAUUAACACUGUCGAAGGACAUUGCAAGAGGAGUGAAAGGUAGAACCAUUCCUCUCUUGGGGGCAACGCCACCGGAGACUUCGAGAGAUGAAUCAGCAUUUCUACCUAGUCCACUAGAGCUGGAUCGACUGCUCAUUCGUCGGACUUCCAUUUCUCCUACAGAAAAUUUAAUCCAAUAAGAAACUCGGAUAACAAUAUGCUCACAUUACACUUGACGAUAUUUUUCUGUUUCUUACUUGUAUUGUUUCCAUCAGUAGAAGAUAAUGAUCGAGGCAAUGAAACAUUCUUAGAUGGGGGUCUUCUCAGUCUUGGCUCUUCCUUUGAUUCUUCUUGGUCUAGCUCCAUUUCGUUUGCCGCGUCUUCAGAUAUGAUGGCUUGUGGCUUUCCAGGAGCUAAUUUAUUAAAACAAAACCAUGAAAAACUGCAACUUUAAAAGUACAAAUGAAAGAAGUUCCGUGUAGACAUAAAAAGGAACAUUGACUCUUACGACUUAGGUACAUAAGGGAGACCGUAUAAAGGGAGUUGAAGAGAACAAUAAACCCCAGAAGAGCGCCAGAACCAAUCCAAAACCAGUUUUUGUUGUGGUAAACAUCAAAGUUAUUAAGCACUGCCUCACCCACCCUGGUAACAUUAUCUAAAGCCUGCAGCACAAGGAAGUUCGAUGCAGAAGCUUAGCCUUUUUGUUAAGUUAAACAAAUGUAGCUCAUGAAUGACAGGUGCAAGGAAGAGCUUAAGUUUAUCAUACCAGUUUGUUCAUCCACCUCGGAGCAUACAUUUCAUUUACGGAGAUAGCAUUGAAGCCAUAUGUCAAAGGUGAAAUCCAGUAUGCCCACGUCCACCAGUUCGGAAUUUCACCUGUCACAAAUGAAGCAACUCGUUGAAUAUUCAGUGAAAUACUAAUUUGGUCCCUUCUUGCUAGUUUUUGACUAUUUUUUAAAAACUAAAUUUGCAACUCAAACUAACCUCUUGGAAUUAUGAAACCUCCAAGCAAGAAAAGAAUUAGAAGAGAGAGAGUCCCGCCAGUGUUGGAUAUGAUCAUGGUCCUGCUAACUCCAGCAAUAAGCCUAAAUAGCGCAGAUGCCAUUUGUUGCAUCAGAAAUAUCAACAAUAGUUGCUUGAAAAACCUGCAAAUAUUUUGACAGUUGCUUAGUAUCUCAAGGACAAGAAACUUUUCAAAGUAAUAAGAUUUUGUACCUAAUCAAAAAGUAAUUUGCAGUUUUAUCAACUUACCCACACGUGUGUUUAUAAUAUUAUAACUAAUCAAAAUAAUAAGAUUUUGUGCCUACGUAUCUAUUCAAAACUACAUAAAAUAGUUUACCUAACGACGAAAGGACCAACAUAAAAAUUCAAUAAAACAUUUGGUUGAUGAAAAAACUAUGUUAGUCAUGAUGGAAAACUAAUUUACGAACAAAAUAUAUAGAAAUGAAAUUAAGCAGAGAUAAAUGUGGUACCUGCUAGCUUCAGGUGCAAAUCCAAUGGUGUAGUAUGUAAUGCCUAUAAAAACGGUAGAUUCUAUGAUGGAUAUAGGAAUCCCAAGCAGAAACAGAGUGAAAAGUCCAAGCAGGGUGGAAAAGAAGGUCUCUAUGCUUGUAAAACACAGGAAGUCUUGCAAUGGUCAAUGAGAGCUCAGCAAAUCCAUUAAACAUGUUAAUGAUUAGGCAAUAUAUAAGUGCACCAACAUAGAGUGCUCCAUCAUUUUCAUUUCGAGCGUCCAUUUCGGUCCUCAAAAACACUGUCGCCGUUAUGAUUGCCCCUAUUAUAAUUUGGACAGUCUUGAAAAUGUAAAUAAAUGAGUUCCUCUGCAUGAGCAGCCAUUCUUUGUCAAAACAUGCUUUGAGAAGCUGCAUUUUAGGCAUUGAAUAUGUUUUGAAUACAAGAGCUGCUUUGUGGCUUUGAGCCUUGUCGAAUGGGAUUGAGAGCUCAUCCGCUAUCCUCAUGCCCACAUGGAAACGCUUGAACCGGUUUGCAAAUUCUGUGACCGAUACAUAUCUGUAUGGAGUCCUUCUGUCUGCCCAAUACUGCUCCUGGUCUUUUCUUGAGGUAACCUGAAAAGGUUGGACAAGAGUUAUGGGAUGUAAAGGCUUAUAACAAUAUCAAAUUGGAUUAGCAAAGGCUUAUUACAAUUGUUCACAAAAAAAACAAAAGGGGCUUAUUACAAUUUCUUGGACUUCAGUUUUUAUAUAAGCAAUACUAGGGCAUGGCUGGAAGUCGAACUCAGGACUUCAGGUGCAGUGACAAAUGCUUUUAAACGCUACAAACCCUUGGUUUGGGCUAGAAGUUGGGAGAAAACCUAAGGUACAGUCAAACUAGUUAUAUACAAUUAUAUAUCAUGACUAUAAUCACGUGAUAAGUGAUAAAUAGAGACAUACAGGUAAAUGUGUGCAACUGGUGGUAGGGAAGAUUUUUUCAGAAGAAAGUCUUAAGCAAUAUGUCACUUGCUCCUAAUUUUUAAUUAGAUGUGUCACCACCUAUUAAAUUAAUGUGAGACUUUAUCGUGAUUUCACCUCUUGCAAGAAAUCAGCAGUUCCCUUUCUCUCAGGGCAUCGAAAUCCACAUGUCUCAAAAAACUCUAAUAUCUGCUCACGUGGUCCCUGGUAGACGAUCUGACCUUCUGAUAAGGAUGAUAUCAUCAAAAAGAUCAAAUGUCUCAGGAGCAGGUUGGAGUAAAGACAUCAAGAUCGUAGCCUCAGUGAUGUGUACAAUUUGUUGUAGGCACUUCACGAUUUGGAACGUCGUGGAGCUAUCGAGACCCGUUGAGAUCUCAUCCAUGAAUAAUGUUUUAGUAGGUCCAACAAUCAUCUCACCUGUAAUUAACCAUAAUAAUUUACUUUCUCAACACAUUAUACAUGUACAAGACAACGUAUACAAUUUAAGACGUCGUAUAGCAUUUUUUUGCUUUUUUUUUUUUUAUAAAAAAAUACAAGAAUAUAGUAAUUAGCUUACGAUUUAGAAUGACUCGUAUAAAAUUUAUUUAAAAGGUAUUUGUUAUACUAUUAUUCAUCUAAAUUUAGUUAUUGCUUAUCAAACAGUAUUGAAAAAUCCUGCUCGAUAUUCUAAAGACAUUUCUUUUCAAAGUGCAUUUAAAUUCCAGUUCUUACGGUAUUGAUGACUUUGCAAAGAAAUUUCAAAGUGUGACACCACCCACAAGUAUCUUUGGUCUACAACAUGAUACCAUAUGAUCGCGACCCUAUUGAGAAUACAUUUGCUCACCACCUUCAUGUGGUGAUGAUGCUCCACUUUAUUUAUCACCAUUAGAUGAGUUUAAAUAUUGAGAUAUAUGUAGUGGACAAAUCUCAAAGUUUAAACUCAUCAAAUGAUAAUAAAUAAGAUAAUGAGCAAUACCACAACUUGAGAGUGAUGAACAAAAUGCGCUGCAAAUUCUAAACAAAAUCAGAAGGACAAAAAAGGUGGGAAUUGACCUGUGGUUACUCGUUUUUUCUGGCCGCCAGAUAUCCCUCUCUGCAUCUCAUCUCCAACAAUUGUAUCCUUACAUAUAUCAAGCCCCAAAAUCUGUACCAUUCAAUAAAAAAUCAUGCUUCAUCAUUAUUUCAUUGAAAAAUUUUAGAAUAUAAAAAACAUUAAUUCUAAAUGGUGUUUUAGUAAAUUGCUUCCAAAAGCAUGCUUGGUCAACAACCAAAGUGUAAGCAUGGGCCUCCCUAAUUCCCUAUCCAGCAAUGUGUUUAGACAACAGCAGUCAUCAAAGUAGAUUGGGAAGAAUAAUUUGACAAAAGAACAAAAAACAAUUUGACUAUUAAGUAACGUUAAGCAACGUCUACAUUUUCAUGAUCUGGCUUAUGGUCAAAUCCCCAUAAGGACCAUUUCUAAAUAAGAAUACUAAAACAUCCAUGUUUAUGGGACUGACUAACCGAUGAAUGCCUGCCUUCUUCUUGAUCGAGCUCUUAUAUGUAUACUCAUUGUUUUUAGGAAAAUAUGUGAAAGAGAAGUUUAAAUUUCUAUAUUUUUAAUUUAAAAUGAGAGAUAUGCUGUGAUGAUAUAUAGAUGAAGACUAAAUUGUCUUUCCACCUUCUUUUAAUUGACAAAGAGAAUUUUAUUAAUAAGUAGUUUAGAUGUACGCAACUACUUGAACCAUUACUCAUUAAUACUUAAAUUUGCAGAUUAAGAUAAGAUGGACCAUUUUAGUUUAGGGCCUAGUUUUUCCUUAAAACAAAUUUACUUACUUUGAGAGUAUAAUCAGUAAUGAGACUGCUCUCAAGUCCUCCCAUUGCAGUAGCCUGAAAAGGAAAAAAAACCCAGAAAUUUAGAUAUAAUUAAAUAUAUACGAGGGGUUUGUGUGUGAUAUAUAUAUAUAUAUAUAAUAUUACCUUCAUGAAAAGGUCUACUUCGGGCUCUGGAUAUAUUCCAGCGGCUUUUUCUCUUCUAGCAAGCUCAGUAAGAAGUUCUACAUAUGAACCAUUGAAUAAUUAAAAUGGGGAUUGAAUAUGAAUAUGAGAGUCUCAAUUUUGAUGAGAUGGAUUAAUAAAAUACCAUAUCGGGUCCCAACCCCUUGGCACCUUGCUGAAAAAUCUAGUGUUUCUUUGACCGUCAUAUUUCCAACGUGAAGAUCAUUUUGGCUAAUAUAUGCCGAUGUCUUCCGUGGCACAAACUCAUUCAGCCGGUGACCAUUGUAAGUUAUCUCUCCUUUAACCUGUUCCAUAUAAUUUAACCAGAAAAGUAUUAUAGUAAUAAUUAUAAUUAUAAAAGAAAAUUGGGAUUAAAAUACUACAAGCAACAUUUCCUUCAUUUAAAUAUUUAGACUUUCAAUGUAUAUUACUGCUUUGUCAAAAAAGGAGGCUGAUGUUAGUUUUUUUAUUUUUUUUCUAAUUUUUGUAGAAGUAAUCUAUUUCAUCCCGUUUCUUAUAGGAAUUAAAGCCCCUUAGGUCAAGUAAUUGUUGAUCAAGUCAAAGCCACAUGUCACUGACCUUCAAGCUUGAAUCCAACUUCCCAGCUAAAGCCAGCAAAAUGGAAGUCUUCCCCGAGGAUGGAGGACCUAAUAAAAGGGCCAUCCUACAGAAAACAACAAAAAGGUUACAUCAAAAACUUAGAAUUAAUCAACAGCAAAAAUAUUUUUUAAUCUAUCGAAUAAAAACAUCAGCUAACUUAUCAGAUCACAUAGAAUGGUAACUUAAAUAAAUCAUAAAUCUAAUGCUUAGUUACCUUGAAGGUUUAAUAAUGCCAGACAUCUUUGAGAAUUGUUAGUUUUGUUUGCUUAGUCAACUUAAUCCCAAUUAAGCCAAGAGCUGAUUCUGCGAUGUUCCGAGCAACAUUUGGGAGGGUGGGAAGAGCUCUUGUUCCAACAUGGCAAUCAGCUUCAAUUGUCAAAUGCUCGUACCUUACUUCCACUGUGGGAAGUUUGAUCCCAACCCUGCAAUAAAUGACAACACAUGAAAAUUUUAAUUAAUUAGUUAGAGUUUAAUUAGAUUAAUUAAUUAACAUGUUCCUUUUCAUGCAAUGUUUUACUAUGUUCACCAAUUAGAUUCCCUUAACAAUAAAGGAGCUGCCGGGAAGUUGUUUUAUUGACCUAAUUCGUUUGUCACUUAAGAAAUUAAGGAAAGGUACACAAUCUGAAAUGCCAUUUCAAUACCAUAUUAAAAAAAAGUACGGUAAAAUAAUUUAACAAAGGGUGUAUUAGAAAGACCAUACUUUAUAAAUCGCAUCGAAAAUAAAGACCAAACCACAAGGUUCUUGGCAUGUGCAUGAUGGAAUAUAUAUCACCGAAUAAAAAACAAAUAAUAAAGUUACCAAACCAUAUACUAUUGGGAUAUAGACCUCACAACACAAUUAACUAGUACCCUGCUUGCAUCACAGGCCUGCUACUAUAUAUGCUAACCAAGAAAGCGACUCUAGCUUAUUUUCGUCUUUUACAUCUUAACGUUUCAUUUGUCCACCAGGAUGAAAGAAAUGAUACGACAGCGAUCAAUGGUAAAUUAUGCAUGAAAGCAACCUUGUAACUAAUUAAAACAAGUUUGAUCAAGUAAGAGUAAAUUCUAGGUAGGCCAUAUUUUUAAAUUAAAUAAUGUGUCAUAAAAAAGAAAUAAGUAAGUUAAUUAAUAUUUAAAUAAUAAUUCAAUUAUCAAUAUACAAAAUUUUAGUUUAAAAAUUUUCUCUAGCAUUCAUAAUGUUAUAUGUGCUAAAUUUACUCUUUGCAUUAUUUAUUGUAUUGUUAACUUAAUUCUAUUGGAGGAAAUCAAUGAAUGACUCCAAAACAUUAUUAGCACCCACAUCUACUAUUUUUUAUUAUUGCAAAAAGUUAAAAAUAAAAAAAUAAAAAAUCACAUACUUUUUCACGUUACACAGACUUCUAAUUUUCUAAAAUAAUAUAUAUAUAUAUAUAUAUAUAUAUAUAUGUGUGUGUGUGUGAAUGUUCUUUGAUUUAUUCAAUCUAAAUGUAAGAAAUAUAGAGGGUGUGAAUAUUGUUUUCCUUAUUUAAAAGAAAUUUAACCAAACCAUGAAAGAUAAAAAACAAAGGACUUACUUAUCAAGUCUACUUCUGAACUUUUUCAGGAACGUCUCGUUAUCUUCCUCUGCAACCUUGAAAACCCUUUGAAUGAAAUUCUGACGGUCGUCCAUGUCGAGCUGUAGAACGUCUACUUGCUUAUGUACUCCUUGAUGCUCAGUUUCCCCAAGGGACUUGAUGAUGCUUGUUCUUAGCCGAUCAUACGUGGGCAGUUUCUCAAUGGCAGCCCAUGUCAGAGCUUCUUCGUCUUCGUCCGCUUGGCUGCUUCUUCUCGAGUGCGUGGCAGUCGCAAAUACUUCUUCCAUGCGCCAACUUGCCCUGCUCAGGCUCCUGCUUAUGCUUCCGCUGCGGCUAUGGCGCUUUUGAUGAUGUGGCUCUGAACCUUUCGGUUUCUCUGUUCCCUCCAUUUCGGUUUACCUCCUGAAAAUAAACUGAAUUUAGAAUAUUGUAUCAACGCUUCGAUGUUUUGUGAAAUUUUCUUGGCAGCCAAACGUGUAUGGAGAACUAAAAGGACUUACUUAUUUGCUGAGUUUGUUGAAUGACAAGCGUAAUGGAUGUUAAAUCUAUAUCCUUUUCUUUCAAAACAAAAAUCUAUACUUUGUGGAAAUAUGGAAAUGUGUUGGGUGGAGAAAUUUAUGAUUGCUUUUCUCUAAAUUUCCAAAGUUCCCACUCCAAAUCAAAAUCUCCUCUAUCUUUUCUCUCUCUCUCUCUCUCUCUCUCUCUAACCUUUGCAAAAACUGAGAGAUUCAUUUCCUUGAGAAUUUUCGAGGGUAUUUAUACGUGUACAAAGGGAAGAAAAUUCUCAAAUUUUCAAACAACUAUUAAAGUCAGAAUACUAUAUUUUUAGAUGCCAAAGUCAGAAUAUUACAUGUGUAUUGAUAUAAUAGAUUGCAUUGAACAGUAUUCAAAUGUGAUUGGCGGCGGCCAUACCCACUUUCUCCAAGAUCUUUUGAAGAAUUAUGUGGGCUCCACUGUGCUCUUCAUCCAAACUAUAGUCAAAUGAGGUUUGGUAAUUUAUGACACCCUGCCACCAAAGUUAUAUGCCUGUGAAAAUAAAAACAAAAAUUAAAAUGACGCAAUAUUAUUUCUAUUGUUAUUACCACUGUAAAAUGGUCUUUUUCAACUGUAAAUUAUUAUAUAAUUCCUUAAAAAAAUAUUAUGAGUGGUGUUAUUAGGAUCUGAAAAUGGUAAUCAUUAUGCACAAUAAGUGUAAAUUAGUGUAAAAUAUUUCUUGUAAUUGAAAUAAAUAAUUAAUUAAAGUAAAAUACCAUUUAAAUUGAGGGCACAAUAAUUUUUCUAAAGUGCGAGCAAAUUAACAAAAUAAAUUAAUGGUGAAUGACACCUCAAGUUCACCUUUUAAAACAGAUAAAAGCAUUAUUGAUAUGGUGAGACAAUUCAAGUAUUGAACCUAGUUCGAAUACUAGUUUAUUCGUACUACUAACGUAGCAUAUGCAUAACAUUGUUCAUUUACAAAAAAUCUUGGUGGCUUUGAGAUCAUCUGUAGGAUGUUCGACAAAGGUGAUGGCAGCAUUUUGUCAUCUCUUAUGUAUUUGCAGUUUUGGAAGGUAACAAAGAAGCUAUCUACAAAAUCACAAUGAGACUUGUAGAACCAAAGUGUGUGUCAUUAUCAGAUCACACGUUAAGGACCCGUUAAUAACGAGUUCUUAAUAAGUUUAUCUACAAAAGGUGGUCUGUUAAGAAAAAAAAGUAGUUUGGUAAUUUUAAAGACUUUUUUUAUUAGCACCCCACAUAGUAUUGAAUACAUCCCACAUUAAAAAUGUAAUAUUAAAUGACUUAUAUAUCUAAUAUGUAAUGACAAGUUCGACCUUAUAGGGUUUAGAAAAAUAAAAAAAAAUUCUAAAUAUACCUCAAAUAAGUUUUAACGUGUAUAUCUCAAAAUUAUUUAUCCUCUUCAAGACUUCAACUCUUUUUCUCAAAAUCACUUUCACCUUCCUUUGUAGAGCACAUCCACUGAUUACUGAUUCAUCAGGGCCAAUGUUGACCUUAAUCGUCAAACGUCUCUCAACUGGUUGUCGACAAAUAGGGCAGUGGUUUGUUUGUAAUCUCUAGAGCUUGUCACACACAUGCAUUGUAGCAAGAAAAGAAGUCCAACUAAAAAUUAGUCAAGCGAAAAUCCACCAUAAAUUACACUCAAGUUGAUUCAAGUGGAUUAGUUUUGCGAAUAUAGGAUAGAUAUCCAAGUCAUGGGCGGGAUGGGAUGCCUCGGCCUUAACAACUAUAAGACAGAUAUCCAAGUCAGCUACUUUCAGUAACUCUGUAUCCUCAAACAUUGAGAAGUUAAUCCCAAUUCCGAGGGCCUCCCUGAACUUUUGGCCUAGACCGUGUUCAAAAUGUAUAGUCACAGGUGGAUGAAGGUUGAAAUGUAUUGUCAUUUCUGGGAUUCACUAGGAGGCUGCCUGAACUUAUGGCUCAAACCGUGUUCAAAAUGUACCGUCACAGGUGGAUGAAGGUUAAAAUGUAUUCUCAUUUUUUUGGACACACACCUUCACUGAUCAAUGUUCACUGGUUAGAAAAAGUUGGGCAAAUCCUUGUUGCCAAAAAAUAAUUUAGGGGAAAAAAGUUAAGCAAAUCCUUCAUGACAUGAAUGAUUUUGUAUCAAAUAGCAUAAUAAGAAAGAAACCAUUAUGAAGAGAGUGGAGUGUAUGUAGAAAAUGUGGGGUGUAUGUAAAAAACGUGGAGUGUAUGUAGAAGAUGUAAGGUGUAUGUUGGGAGUGUGGGGGUCUGAGGGUAUUAUGGGAAAGUACAUAGGGUGCAAUAAGAUAAAUUUUAAUUGAAAAAACAUAUGUGGGGUGUGUUAAGAAUGUGGGGUAUAUUCAACAAUAUGUGGGAUGUUAAUAUAACAAGUCAUUUUAAGCUAUGCUAAAAAAAAACCUUACUACAAUGGUCAAAGCCAGUCUGCAACGGUCAACGGUCAUGGGUACUCAACUUUGACCCCUCAUUAUGAAAAUUUUAAUAUAAUUUGAUUUCCUACAAAAUAUCAAAGCAGAUUAAAAAAAAUCAUAAUAAAUAUAAAAGCGUGAAACUGUGAAAAAAAAAAUAUCCAAACAUUCAUGACCGCAUCAUCUACACUUUGACGAUGAGUACAUCGUCGUUUGAAUUUUUAAAACCUCUAAACCCUUGCGAACAAUAUUUUUAGAUGGAGUUGAAAAUAAAUAAAAACUCAUAAUAAUUAAUGUACAAAGUGAAAAAUGUGUAAAGAAUAUAUAAACACUUAUGAUUAUAUCCUCUACAUUUGGAUAUUGGUUAUAUCAUUGUUUAGAUUCUGAAAACCCUUCAAACUCUCAUGAAAAGUGUUUUUGUUUGAGUGCAAAAUUAAAAAAAAAAUCAUAAUAAUAGAUGUACGAGUGUGAAAAAUGUAAAAUAUAUACAUAUAUACAUACAUAUACACACACAAACACACACACACACAAACGCUCGUAAUGAUAAACUCUACAACUUUUGUGAAGAGGCCAACUCCAAAAUUCGACACCAUAAACCCUAGAUUUAUAUUUAAAUGUCAAUUGUCAUUUACGUUUAAACUCUAUUCUUCUCACUAGAUUUAGUGUUUUAUUUUUUUUAGAUUUUCUUUUUUGAAAACAUGAUCUUUUGGCGGAGGCAGAGAGAUAAAUGGUUCGGAUCGUUGAUAUCAUGUUCUGAUAUUUACGAUUAACUCAAGCAUGAGUUGAUGUUAUAUAGUUUCUAGAGACUUUAUAAACUCCGAGCAAUAUUUUCACUAACCGUAAAAUGUGAACGUGAUAUCAACGAUCCAAACCCUUCACCUUUUUGCAUCCGCAUAUCAUGUUUUCAAAAAAAAAAAUAUGAAAAAAAAAAUUUCGGUAAGAAGAAUGGAGCAUAAACAUAAAUCACAACACACAGUUAAAUAUAAAUCUAGAGUUUAUGGAUUAUUGUGUCAAAUUUCAGAGUUGACACAUUUCGCGAAAGUUGUAGAGCUUGUCAUUACAAGUGUUUGUAUAUUUUUCUUUAUUUUAUAUUUUCACAGUUGUAAAUUGAUUAUGAUGAAAUUUUUAUUAACUUUCACUCAAACAAAAAUACUAUUCAUGAGGGAGGGAUAUAAAAUCCAAAUGACUAUGUAACCAUCAUUCAAGUGUAGAGGAUACAAUCACAAACAUUUGUAUUGACAUCCCUACCCAAAUAGCCAUCAAACCAUGGGUGGUGAUGUGUUAAGCUAUCACCAAAUGAAUAACAUAACAUCUUUAAAAUGAUAACAAAACAUCACCAAUAUGAUGGCAGAGCCAUAGGUAAGGAAGUAAUGCUGUGAAUAAAUUUGAACUAAACAACUCAUUAUUAUUAACUACUAAAAUUAUCCUACAAGUCACUACAACACCCUCACCUCUUGGUGACACAUUAGGGUUCAACCCUAUUAUUACCACAUCAGUUCAAAGCAUAACAAUAGUGCAUACAUUAGUUAUCACAAAAGUAUGCGUUGUGCUCUGGGCAUAAUCGAAAGUAUGACUAUGCAUUAUUACAACUAGAUAAGAACAUAGAAGACAGAGAAAUCACCCUACUUUGUAGGAUGACUACACUAUUGCCAAGCCCACUAGUCCCCAAACAUCGCCUUGUUCUCGCGAGGUACCUAUGGGAUUGGAAUAUAUACUAACGUCUACUAGUGCGAGUACAAGCAUGCAUGUGUACAUGGGCAUCUACCUGUUUAUUGCUAGCAUCCACUAGCAAAAAAAAUCUACUAGUAUCUACAGUACAUCUAGCCUCAACUAGAUAAAUAACACAUGCAAGUAUCUUAUGGCCACAAAUAGCUAUACUCGAUCUGUAAGGGACCAUGUGGUGAAAAUAAAUCAUAAAUAUAAACAAGUCAAUCAUAUGAUCAUCUAGUCAUUUCAAUAUUAGUAUCUUCCACUCAAAGAAAUUCUGAGUUUGUCUCUUCAAAAGGUGUCAUGCUUUUGUCUAGGUUACUCAAGCUUGCACCUAAAAAGCAUUGUGUUAGCACUUAACUAAGUAAAUUCUAAAGCUAAGUAAAUUCUAAAGAUCUCUAAUUCAAAUGUGGUAAACAACUCCAAUUUAGCAAAAACAGAGUCCACCACGUGAUUCGGAACUUCGAAUAACCUUUGGUUGGGUCUCGGGUCCCCAUGUGUUGCCACACUGCUACACGUACUAUCACAUGUUGCCACGCAUUGCCUCAGUGACCUCGCGCCGUCACUCGCCGGUGGAUGCACAGAGCAACACAGAGGUCAAAACCUCAUAUUUAAGCUCAAAUUUGACAUGAAGAGCAAGGAAAGGAUACCUGACAUUAAUUAGAAUCAAAUUCAAGCCCUUUUGACCUCGAAUUUGUCGGGUUCAAACUCGAGCUUGUCAUAGGGCCUUGGUGAAUGAGUUGCUCCCUUCCCCAAUUCUGAUUCUCACAUUCAAGACCAUUCUCGUGAUCCUUAGGUCACCUAGAGAAAAUAUGGUGGUUUUGAGGUGGAGUUUGUUGAAAAAAUUGGGGGCUAAUUGCUAUAUUAAAUCACAUGAAAAAUCAAGAAAUAAUUCAUGAACUUAUAUAUCAAAGUAAUGCAUAGACAUGAUCAGCCAAUGUUAAAUGAACAUGACAUAAUAGAUUAGAAAAACCUGAAAAUACGGUCGAGGUAAGUGUUAGACACUUUGUCCUUAAGACAAGUUUAUGCCCCACUACGGUGCUCAUUGUUGAUCGGCGCAUGUCUCCUAAGAUAUAACGACCAUGUCCUUGUAAUAGUAGCACUCCUAAUCAUAAAGGCUCCAUAAACCACGAUUGUGUUGAAAAUCCUCUCAUAUGGACUCAAUGAGACUCUCUAAUAUUUAGAGCACUCUAUGUAUGAUUAUGUAAACAAAUGGAAAGUUUUUAAAUGAUUAUGGGGGGCUUCCCUAUUUAUAGAGUGUGAGAUACCUUUUUGGAAAACAUGUGACUAUUCAUGAAGAGUCAGAAUUUGCAACACUUUAUUUAAAUAGACAUAUCUUUCUACCAAAAGGCUCCACUUCUAAUUUCCUUUCAAUUAAUAAAUUUAAUAUAAAAAUAUUAUUAUUAAAUUUUCCAACAAAGUUUGGUCAGGAUUAGUGGUGGAUUGGGUGGUUGUUCACGAUGGUUAAGAGAGAGAGAGAGAGAGAGAGUUACAAAGAUGACAAAGAGGAAAGAAAACUGACCAAGAGUGGGGUUAUGAUUAGGGCUGGUUCGGUAUGGGAUACCGAACUGAAAACGGCAUAUCAAGUCCCAAACCGACUAUUUUCGGGAUAGAAAUCUGAGGACCAAUCCCAAACCAAAAUUUCGGUAUUCCCGAAAUAUUUUCUGUAUUUCAGGAUUUCCCGAAACCGAACAUGCAUUAAAAAUUUAAAAUUUAAAACUCCAAUUUAAAAUCAGAGACACUGAUGAAUCAAUGAAAAUUGAAGGUCGAGAGAGAGAGAGAGAAAGAUAGAAUGCAGAGAUAGUCAAACCUUCAUCUUUCUCCCCCAAUUCGUAACUCUAAGCCCCAAUUUGAAACUCUAACCUUGACUCUAAGCCCCAAUUUGAAACUCUAACCUUGAUUUGAAACCCCACACAUAUAGAGAAUCGCUUGAAAGAAUCAGAGGUGGGGAUGAAGCAGUGCGGAGCGGUGGUGGCCGGAGUGCAGAAAGUUGGACGAAGUCUGAUUGUGAGAGGAUGGGUGGGUCUUCGAAUUCGAGAGGAGAGACAGAAAGAGUCUGAGAUUUUGGCGAAGGUAGUGAUGGGAGAGACACUUUGUCUAAAGAGUCUGAGUCUUUAGACAUCUUUUUGCAAAACUUUCUUUAUUUUAAUAUUAUAUAAUAGGCUAUGUUUGCAGUUUGCUUGAUUGUAAUUUGGACAACACACAACAAUCAUGUGCUUUUCUGCACACUUUGAUUAUUUUAGUAAUAUAUAAUUGAUAUUCCAGUUUGCUUUUCUGCACACUUUGUUCUUUGGUAGCGUGGGAAGUACGAACCAAAGGCAAAAGGAAAAGAAGAUUUCAGGAUUACAGAAAAAUGAAAUUUGAAAAACCAAUCCCAUACCGAAUAUUUCGAUAUUUUUUGGUACGGGAUUACCAAAGUUCGGGAUAAUUUAGGUUUGAGAUUUUUCAGUUUGGAUUUGGGAUUUUUUUGGUUUGGUUUGGGAUUUUUGGGAAUUUUUUCCAACCCUAGUUAUGAUCCCUUAAAUUUUUCCAAAUGAAAAUUACCAAAUUGCCAUUCUUGAUUAAAAAAUUAUAACUCAAUCUCCGUAACUCCAAAUUUGAUUCUACUUUCACCCACUCGCUUGUGAGUACGAAAACCAAUCUAAUAAAAUUAGAAAACCUGUGAAAUUAGAAUUAAACUCAAAGGUCCAUAAUUAUUCAAGACACCCACAAUAGGAAUAUUUUGGUCAUUUCACACUUCGUAGGCAUAACUCAUAAGAUACAUUAUUUUAAGGUAUGGGUUAUAGCAUGUACGUGUUUUUUUUUUUUCAAAUUUUUCACAUGUGUACAUUAGUUAUUAUGAAUUUUUAUUUAUUUUGAACUCACUCUAAAAAUAUUGCUCACGAGGGUCUGGAGAUUUUAAAAAUGCAAACGACAAUUACCAUCAUCAAAGCAUAAAGGAUGUGAUCACGAGCGUUUGCAUAUUUUUUCAAUUUUUUCCCAGUUCUAUUAAUUAUUACAAAUUUUUUAAUGUGCUUUGGUAUUUUGUAAGAAAAAUAAAAAUAAAUUAAAAAUUGGUGAUUUUGUAUAAAAUCAAUUAAAAGUUAUGAUAUUAACAAUAAGUCAAUCAAUUUUUUGGAAUUAUAAAUAGGUCAAUGAGACUUUAAGAUACAUUAAAACACAUCAAUCAUAUUAAAAUUACAAAUGAUGCCAUUACCAUUUAAAACACCAAACCUUUCCAUCUCCUUCAUUGUAAAUCGCGCCUCCCCCCACCUUCAAACUUCAACCUCCCCCGCCUCCCACCACCAUCAACCUCCAUUACUUCAACCUCCCCCACCUUCUACCACCCUCAAUCUCCAUUUUUUAGACACUGCACAUCAGUGUUUGUUUCCUGUUUUGUGAUUGUGCAUUUGAAUUCAAAUAAGUUUAUGGAUUCAGAUACUUCGUUGCAGUGUCUGUUUCAUGUUCUGUGAUUGUGCAUUCUGAUUCAAAUAGGUUUGUGGAUUCAUGUUUCCGGUUCUGUGGAUUCAGACACUCCGUUGCAGUGUCUGUUUCCUGUUCUGCGAUUGUGCAUUUGGAUUCAAAUAGGUUUAUCGCUUCAGACAUUGCAACACAGUAUCUGUUUCCGGUUCUGUGGAUUCAGACACUUCGUUGCAGUGUCUGUUUCUUGUUCUAUGAUUGUGUAUUGAGAUUCAAAUAGAUUUGAGGAUUCAAACACUACAACAUAGUGUCUGUUUCUUGUUCUGUGAAUUCAGACACUUCGCUGCAGUGUCUGUUUCCUGUGCCCAAAAUCGAGUCCUUCUUCGACAAUUCCAUCUAAGAAAUUUGAAAUUUGAACCUCAAUUCAAUUUUUUACAAUUUUUCUAAAAAAAAAAAAAAAAAAAAAAAAAAAAAAAAAAAAACUUAAGAGAGAGAGAAAGAGAGAGAGACAGAGAGGGUCUGACAACGAAACAUCCUGAUACAAAAUCCUCACAACCCCAUACGAAGCUAAGUGUCUGCCUACCGACCCAACCGACACUCAAAAUUCAAAAUUUGAACUUCCUCUCCUCUUGUUCCUCCAACUGAACUGAAAUUCCUAAAAUUCAAACAAACCUCAGAAAAUAAAAAAUCUUCAUCUAAUAUGGUCCCAAUCCCAAAUGGCCGCCGCCAAUUCUUUUAAUUCCUCGAUUCCCUCCACUCCUUCUCCACUCUCAUCUGUACACACGCUCCUCCUCUUUAUCCCUACCAUUUCUUUCUCUUUAACUUGUAAUUUCAUGUUUGUAAAUCUUUUAAAAAUGUUUUCAACUUGGAACUUGGCUGUUCUUCAUAACCAAAUCUACUGACUUGAGAUCGAGUCCUCUGUCGAACCUUGGCAGUGAUCGCAAUCCCAAAAAGUUUCGAAGCUGAAAGCCCUAAUUGUUCGAUUUCGGUGUUUCUCAACCCUAAAAAGUUUGAAUCCUAAGCUCUGGAAGUUGAACUACGGUGAUGCGACGGUGGAGUACGAUCAGAGUUCAGAAGGGAGAGUCUGCGAGCUUUAAUUGUGAACUUUGGGUUCCCUCUCUCUCCGGAGUGCGAUCAAACACUUCCUUUCUUUUUCUUUGGAGGGUAUUUUGGUGUUUCCAUGGAUUUUAUAAUGACUUAAAGCUUUUGUGGCAUUCAUCAUUGAUCUAAGCCAAGUUAAUAAAAAUAUAUCAUUGAUUAAGUCCAAAAUAAAAAUAUGUCAUUGAUAUAUGGCUUAAUAGUAAAGUUUUUAUUGACCUUUGGCUAAAUUACCUUUAAAAAAAAUCAUAAUAAUUAUUUUAAAAAUGUGAAAAAUGGGAAACAAAUAUGUAAACACUUGUGAUCGCAUACUCUACGCUUUGAUGAAGAGUACAUCAUCGGUUGGAUUUUUAAAACCCUCCAAACCCUUGUGAACAUUGUUUUUAGAUGGAGUUGAGAAUGAUGAUAAUUCAUGAUCGCAUCUUUCAAGCUUUGAUGAUGGUUACAUCAUCGUUUGAAUUUUUAGGGUUUAGGAUAUGUAGACACUAAUUUAGUGACAACGUAGUAUAUAGAUGCUAAUUUAUUAUGACGAUUUUCAUUUGAUUAUUUAUUGAAGUAAUAUAUAUUUUCUUUAAUGGAUCAGGUCAUAUCACCCAUUAAUUUUAACGGGUCGAGUUCGGGUCAGGUCAUAUUAUCCAUUCAUUGUAACGAGUUUGACAUGACACUAUCCAUUACGAUAUCGGGUAUAUCAUAAAAUGACACGAACACGACAAAUAUGACACAAUUACCAGGUUUAAUAUUGAGAAAGUUAAAAUACAGUCCUGACACCACUGAAGAUCAAAACUUAUAACCAGAACAAAUUUAUUUUAUAUAAAAGGUUUCAUGCAUACAUAAAAACUUUGUACAAUUUACUUCAAACAAUUUCUAUAUAUACUCAGAUUAUUUUUUUUAUUUUUUAUUUUUUGAAAAGUAACAUUCAUUAAGGGAAAAAGAAAGAUUAUGCAAGGCAAACACAAAGGAAGGUAAAACAACCCAAAACAAAUUGGGGAAAUCCCAAUACACAUAAAGCACAAUCUAAUAAGAAAAAAGACAAAACACUAAGAAAACCCUAAUCUUUAUCAUAGCGCAGUAAACAACUGCUGCUACCAGGGACGAACGACUUUAGCAGCAACCACCAAGGUAGCCACACUGAAGAAAAUGAUCGAGUGGUCAAAUAGAGACUAAGACUUUGCAACAUAAAAUUUAAAAAUGCAUAACCAAAAGUACAACACAACCAGAUUAUGUCACCAGAAACACUGCACCAAGAUAUAGUCAUUGGAUCCAAUUCACUUUCACUAACCCCUGAAAGGAUAUACAAACACAAUAAUAGAUGAAAAGGGGUGAGGCUAAGGGGUAUGUGAAAACCCUUAGGUAAAAGCCUUAGAACAUUUGGCCCCAAGGAAAAUUUGGCAUUUCGGUCAAGGGAGGGGCAUUGAAAGAAAGAAAUGAAUUUGACAUCCAUCUUUGGUUCGUCAAUCGUAUAUCUGAUUAAAGGUUAGGGUGGAGAUGAAUUAUGAGGAUGGGAGGUAGAGGGAAGAGAUAAGGGACGAUGGAAGUUUGGGUUUGAAAAAGGUGGAAAAAAAAAGCGUGAAAAAUAAUGAAUUAAAACAUAAAAAAUCUCAAAUUGACAACCGGAGGAAACGACUAAGGGGGUAACAAAUUGGGAGUUUUUUUAGAGAGAAGGAUAAACUUUCUCUCUAGGAAGCUGUAAACUCACCGGUAAUAGGAUUCCGUUUAGGGUUUAAUUGUGUUAAACCUGCGACGGUGUUAUCACAAGUGCUAGCAUAGCUGAUCAUUCCAUUCAAACCAAAACUCAGCCAUGUUAUGAUCUGUGAUUAGCUUAAUCAUAAUGAAGGACUAAUUAGUUAAUUGGGGGUUUUGUUAAGUGAAGUAAUUAGUUAAGUUUUUUUGGUUGCCAAUUAGCAAAUGAUGUAUGGGCUGUAUAUGUCCACACUUUGGGUGUGAUUUUGGCCAUCGGUCAUUUUAAAUAAAAUAAAAUAUUACAAAAACAAGUGGAGCUCAAUUCUGGUCUCCCUUUUGUAUACCACGCUCCCCGAACAACUCUCAAACCGCUACCAUGAAUGAGCUUCUAGCUACCUUGGAAUCUUCCAUGGAUGCUCGUUUUCCUACUUUCGGAUCAACGAUUGCCGUCGCUUUAUUCGGGCACUCUAUGGCCAUGGAUACUAAGUUGCUAGUCAAAUUUUAGCAAUUUUUCCAGGAACUUUCUUAUGGCAGUAGGGGGCUCUUCCUUUGAUCCAAAUGCUUAGGCACUACAAGAAAAAUGAGCUUUGGGUACAAAAUAAAGGGCACAAUUGGGAAUUUUGUGUCUAUUUGACCACCAAAAGGCUGAAAUAGUUCCCAUUCCAUAGAGGCAUCUAUGGUGCCCAAUGUAAAAAAGCAAAGACACAAAACAAUAAUGGGCACAAAACCCGUGCCAAGUGGAUCAGAUGACAACUUUUUGACUGAAGAUGGGCACAAAAAACAUUUUGUGUCUAUAAAAAUUGUUUGUUAGCAACACAUUAUGUGUUUUUUCGUUUGUCUUUACCUCUACCACACCAAAAAAAGUAAAUUUAUAAAAUUGUGGUAAAUAAUGGUAUGGAGCUGUUUAUUACUGUGCAAUGUUUUAGCCUCAAAAUAAGUUAACAAUAAUGUUGUUUAAAUUUAUUUUUGGCAAGAACCGAACCUCAGAUCUCUCACUUACAUGUUAGGGGAUGAUGAUAUAGUUCAAACAAGGCCAAAUGUUGCAUAAAUUGUUAUUGCGAAAUGAUUAUCAUACUUGUAAUGAUCAUGAACUUAUAUCUACUAUGUAGCUUGGUCAUGUAUUUUGUUAUGUAAGCUAUUACAUUAAGGAAAAAGGGGUUUAAACGGUUUUUUAUUUUUUUCUUCUCCUUGGACUUAAGUCAAUUUAAGGGUAAAUUUGGCAAGAGAAUACAAAUAAGCUUAUGUGGAUAAUGAAUCACUGGACUUCACCCAAAAAUUAAAAUGAAAUUGGACUAUAACUAAUAAUGACUUAUAAAAUUGGACUCCUCCAAAUUGGACUUCUCCCUCCCUCUAUUUUAUGGUGCAUGUUUGGGUUUCCCACCACCAAAUUCAAAAACUUGGGUUUCCUACCAUCUAUUUUUUUUUUAAACGCACAACAUUACAAAAUUGUGCCCACUAACUGUUAUAAUAAAAUUAAAAAAUAGGUUUUCUGCCCACUAACUAUUAUAAUAAUAAUAAUUAAAACUAUAAUAAAGGGUGAGAAGCUGGGAAGCUUUCAUUCUACCCUUUCUCCCACUUUCAUCAGACAAAAGGCUAGUUUGGUAUUGCUGUGUUUUGAAAAAAAAAACUACUUCUGCUGUGCUGUGAGAAUGAGCUCAUUUUUGCUGCUUUUUUUCACCCAAAACUGUGAAAAUAAGCUGUUUUUAAGUAUUUACCAAACACCUUUUUGAGCUCAGCUUUUUCUAAUACCCACUUUUUAUAAAAUCCCUCAUCUCUCAAUCCGUCUCACCCUUAGUCUCAAAAAAAUCGAAUGGCACUCCUCCCCACUCCUCCGUCCAGUUCGAACCUGCUCUUUCAUCGUUCACUUCAAAGCCGUUCCUCUGUCCAAUUCAAAGGCACUCCUCUAGUGACACACAUAGAGACAUAAGAGGCCCAAAAUACAAGUAAGGUUUCUGAAUUUCAAAUUUUCAAUGGGUGUUUGUUCUUUAGGGUUUAGGGUCAAAUUAGAUGUUUAUUUUGUUGAAUAUGGUUUAUGGUUUGAGGAUAGUGGGUUUCAAAGGACAGUGGGUUUGGGAUUAGGAAUCUAGGAUGGGUGUAAGUCAUUAGGAUUGGAAGGGUUUCAAGUUGGGUGUGCCCCGGUUUAGGGUGGGUGCAGGACCUGCAGGUCAUUGGGAAGGUGGGUGGUUAACAGUUCAUAGGUUUAGGUUGGAUAAAUCAAGUCUUACAUAGACUUGAUUAAAUAGGUUUCGUAUAAAUUGUAGUUAACAAUUAGAAUGGACAAAUCAAACCAAAACGACAGAUAUGAUUAAAUAGGUUUGAUAUAAGUUUGCUUGGGAUCGAGCAGCAGUCCGAAGAAACUUAAGUUAUGGUAUAGAGCCUAGGACAAGAUUAGGCAGAUUAGCCUCAGCUGGCUUGGAAACUGUAAAAGGCUGGUUUAGGACCCUUGUGUCACUCACACAUUUUGACACUAUCCAGACUAACUAUGAAAUGAGAGGACCAAAUGUAUGUACAUGAUAACUAGUUUAUCCACAUAACUAAUUUAAGUGGAAGUAAUAAUUCAAUACUUUAUGCCAAUUUCUUGACAAAAGAAAAAGAGAGAAAUUAUGUGAAUUUCAAAUUGAUGCUGCUUGCGAAUCAGUUUGAAGGACAGUCUAAUUGGAAAUUAGGUAGUUAUUCUUCUGUUUGUCCAAAAUCCCUUUGUGAAACCAUAUGGUACAAUUCUUGAGGAUUUGUCCCAUGUGGUGUAUUAUCAACCAAAGAGAAAAUGGCACUUGUCUUAUAGUUAACCCAAAUUUAGUUAUAAUUCAAUUAGUUUGGGAUGCGAUAAAAUGCCUUGAUAGUUGUCAUAAUUCACUAAGUGCCUUGCUGAAGUAUACGUAAGUCUUCCUUGCAUUUUGCAAGUCUCUUAUACUUUUUCUUUUGCUGCUUAUGAUACCAGAUGCUCAUUAGCGAGAAUAAAAGCCACAUAUUGUCACCAGCAUUUCAUCAUUGUUUCUUAUCUACCCCCGGCUAGUACUCCUCUGUAUAAUUCAGUUGGAAUUCAAGCUUUGAUGUGGUACGAAAUUAAAUCAUGUGAAGAAAUUAACUACAAUGGUGUCAAUAAUUCACUAUUCUGUGUGCUAAGAGUUUUCUAUCCAUAGCAUUCCAUUUUCUUGUAAUCAUUUUCAUAUAAUUCCCCUACUUUCCUAUGACUACAGUUUUAACCGUGUACCAUAUAAUUCAUUGGUCAUACUAAAGCUGAUGGUGCAGAACAAUCUCUUAAACCUGUAAGUGCUGGCUUAACAGAAGCAGAGGAGUUGGAGAAGUAUAUCACCAUUAGAGAAGAGGUGUAUAAGAAAGCUAAAGAGUUCGAUUCUAAGAUCAUUAGUUUUGAAACAGCUAUUAGGAGGCCCUACUUUCACGUGCAGCCUUUCAAUUCUGCAGAGCUUGAAAAUUGGACCAGUUACCUAGACUUUAUAGAAGAGGAAUGCGACUUGAGCAAGGUAUUUUCAGUGAAUUUGAUUUCAUUUUUUUAUUUAUGGCUUGAAGUUUUUAGUUGCCUUGCUUGUUAUGCAUUAACUCACAACCGAGUAAUAUUUGUUGCACUAUGCUUUAUUGGCUAAAUUGUUGGAUGAAGCAACUUUGAUAAAGGGAAUUUGAACUGAGACUAAAGCAUGGGCCUUCGAUUUGGUUUCUUAAAGGAUAAGUAUUUCAAACUCUCAUUUGUUAGUGCACGUUCUAGGUUCAUGAUGUGUUAAUAAAUUUUAUUGUUUUUAAAGUUCCAAUGUUAUGCAUGCAAGUAUCUUCUUAUCUUCGUCCAGGCAAGAAAGGUCCAUCCUUUCCUAUUUGAGGGGCCUUUCUGUUCUACUAAUGGAGUAUUUCUUGGGCAUAUCUCGUUUGUGUUUUGUUUAUCCAUUCGUUCUUUUAUGGUUAAUGAAUGCAUCUUUUUAAUUUUAUUCUUUUGAAGGUUGUCAAGCUAUAUGAAAGGUGCCUAAUUGCUUGUGCUAAUUAUCCUGAAUACUGGAUUCGAUAUGUUCUAUGCAUGGAGGCCAAUCGAAGUAUGGAUAUUGCCAAUAAAGCUCUUGCACGUGCAACCCAAGUUUUUGUGAAGGUAUUUCCUUGUAUGCUAUCAACUUAGACAUGAUUUUGUGGUGAGUGAACUUCAAUGAUUCUUUAUUUUGGAAGAGAUAAUGAUGAUAAAAACCAUGUCUUCCUUUUUUCUAACUAAUCUUGUAUCCUUGUAAAUUGUAGUUUGUGGACUGAAAAUGAAUCAGUUAAUGAGUUAGUUUGUGUGGAGAAUUGAAGUCCAAUGUUGUGCAUGCAUUUAUCAAGAUUGGUCUAGAAUGCUGUAUAUAUUAACAGUCACAACACAACAGUCACAAACAUGAUUAUGAACUUAGAUUUUAAAGUAUUGAAACUAUUGUAGAUUAUUGACCAUUGAACCCUCAAAGUGAGCUGGGCAGAUACAUAAUAUGAUCAAAUAAUCAUCCAUGGAAUUUUCUUCUCUUUAUCUUUCCCCUGUGUUAUGUUUGUAAACCUUGCCUCUUCCAGUUGAACAAUAGGAAAUUUCUAUUUCUUUUUUUACCCUACACUAGAUACAUAGCUUUAUGCGACAUUACUACCAGCCUUUCAUACAGGAUGCACUCGUGUUCCUUAUAUUGAAGUUAGUGGUAUAUUAUCAUAUGCUAAUUUAGUUUAGUUAUGUGUUGAACUGGAGCUAUUUCUCAUAACUAAACAAAAUUUUGGGAACAUGCCUUUUUUAUGUUAUCAUUAUGUUGAGUAACGUUUCUUUUUUCUGGUAACGUUGCAUGUUUGACCUGUUUGUCUUGAAAUUAAAGAGACAACCGGUGAUUCACCUUUUUGCUACUCGGUUCAAAGAGCAGAGUGGGGAUAUACCUGGUGCUCAAGCUGCCUAUCAACUUGCACAUUUUGAACUCCCACCGGAGAUUCACCGUUUGUUUUUGGUGUUUCCUUUUAUAUGUAUGUGUAUGUGUUUUUCCUUUGAAUUAUCACUUACAUUUUUUUUCUCAACAAUCAAAAUAUGGAAAAAUAAUUUUUUGCUUAGCCUAAAGAUUUGUAGGUGAUUUCGGUUUUUUAUUAUUUUUAUUUUAAAUAGUUGACAUAUUGGGCACAAUAACAAUAAAUGUGCUAACAUGGGUGGCAGCAGUCAUCUGACAACUUUUUCAAAACUGGGCACAAAAGGACCUUUAUUUAUGCUUACACUUUUCAGCACAGCAUACCUUAUUGUGCUCUUUAAUCAAAGGUGAUGCCCAUAGAGGGCACAUAUAGAAACUUAGUUGUUGCACUGUUGCGAUUGGUCUAUAGGCACAAUUGAUGGUGCUAUUUGGACUCAAAGGGCACAGAUAAUUUAUUGUGUGCAAUGUCCAUAUUUUUGUAGUGGGGGCCCAGAUCAGGUGGUUCCUCCAUCGAUUAUUGCUGAGGAACCUGACUUACGUAGCAUGGACACUUUCAGACAUCAUCGUCGUGAUAAUUCAAAUGGCGGUGGCUUUACACCUCUUCUUAAUAGCAAUAUCGAUUGAAUUUUCAAAGAUUUUAUGAGAAGGGUGACCUAGUAGCAUGAAUCUAAAAAGCAGAGCAAUAUUUAUCCUAUUACACUAUCCCUGAGCACUAGAAGGUUGUCAUUGCCUCAUUUUACCUGGAGAAUGAAACACUUUAUUGGUUCCAACAGCUUGAUAAAGAGUUUUACAACUCUAAUUUAGGCAUGCUUUUGUAUUAUAUGCAAUCUAAGAAAUUAGAGGCUUGUUGGAUAAGCUUUUUGGACUAAUACUUCAAGAAAAGACUAAGACUUCAACAUCAGCUAGGUCUAGAGGGAAAUUAUGAGCAUUAUGUAUCAGACGGAGUAGGAUGCCACAAUCACUCUACUCUGGGGCAUUAGGCAGAGUCUUAGUGACUAUGCUGGAUGACCAUGCUUAUUCCGCAAGACAUGCGAUCAAAUCUGGAUAUGGACACCUUCAGAUCUAUAAGUUUUGGAGUCCUUCCAAUCGAGGGAUAGGCUUGCGCCACAAGUAAUCACAACUCCCAAGAGGAUGCAAUAUCUACUUACUAGAUAUUCUCUAGGAUUUUUUCCGGCUUAGAACGAGGAUUUUAUCCAAAAAAAGAUCUCUUUCCCAUGGUAUAAAUACACUCAUUUAGGGUUAAAAUAUAGCAACACAAUUUAUACACUUGAAUUUUCUUGCCUACUACUUGAGUCUCAAAUCAUUUGCUAACUUGAUGGUCGAAGAACCUUCGGCCAGCACACCUACCCCCUCCCUCCCCCCUGCGGCCUAAGGUUUGCUUACAGUUGUUUUACUGUUUUGCAGGUUGCUUAGGUUUACUUGAAUUUGGUUCCAACAAUUGGUGCUUUCAUUGAGAGGGGUCAUAUAUUCUUCUCAACCAGACCACUCUGCUCUAUAGAGCUCACGUUAGAAAAUCGCUGUUUGGAUGAAUCACAACCCCGAAUAAAGAAGAAGCAUUUUUUACUCAUGGGACGAUGUCCUAAAGAUACACAUGUCUGUGAAAUACCUCAAGCGGAUCAUACAAGUCAGAGAAAUGAUGAAACUCACUUGGCUGAACGAGAGAAUGAAGACUGUAAAGGAUGUCGUCUCCCGAUUUGAAAGUUUUGCUCCACGUGCAGAAAUAUUGAUCCAGGGGUCUUUCCUGGUUACCUCCCUAACACCGAGGUAAGAAGUCAUUCCCAAGCAUUAAUUGCAUAAAAAUAAAGCAAGAAUAUUCCAAGAAAGCUCAAAAGAGAAGGAAGACGACUCGGGGAAAACCUUAGAUGAAAGAUCCCUUAAUUAGGCAUGUUUACCCAUCUUCCAACGACAUCCUCUUCAUCAGGCUACAAAUCAAAGACGCCAUGGUCGGCAGAGUUUUAAUCGAUAAUGUGUCAUAAGUCAACAUCUUAUUUAAAUGGGCAUCUAUAAAGAUGGGAAUCUUGGACGAAGUUAACUAAAUGAGGCUCACUGCCUAAACUCUUAAAGGGACUCCGCUCAACACCGUGGGACAAUACAUCUAAUGGUUUGAGCAAAACCAUCUGAACAUAUGAUGACUUUCCAUGUAUGGAUAGUAAUAGCAACAUUAUUUAUCAUAUUUUCAUGUUAAUUAUCCCUAAGUUUUGUUAAGGAAUUGAUUAUAAAAGAACCUUAUUACUUUUCUUUUCUGAAUUUCAGCCAAUUUGCACACUUAAAACUUUUUUUUGUGAUAAUUCGACUUUCCGGAGAAGUUUUGAUGCAAGGCCAAUUGGAGAAGGAAGCUAAGAGGCGGAAGCUUGUUCUGAAUUUCAUAAUUUUCCAUGAAGCCAUUCAUUCGAGUUUUACAAAUGAAUCCCACAAAAGUUGUUUUCCUGUUAGAAUUGCAUAGCUGUGGGAGAAUGAAGAUUUGAAGGCUUCGUUGAUUUUUCCUAGUGGCCUACGAUAUAUGCUUGGAAAGAUAAGAGAUAAAGCUACGUUUCCCAUAUUUGUACAGAAUUUUCCAGAAGAUAAAUCGACCCCAAAUUUGGUGUGCAAGACAGAUGACGUGUUUCCCAAGCUAAGAAGGAUUCUUUCCUAGUUUGUGUCAUUAAUUGUUUAGGAGUUUGUUUUAUUUAGGAGAGUUUCUCCCAGACCUUUUAGGGUUUUUCUAGUCUAAAUAAGGUGUCUCAAGCUAUCCCUACAUACCCCCGUAAUCCCGACAUUACCCCACACCAUACUACCAUUCACCAUCUCCGCAAUUUGUAAAGAAUAGCUUAGAGACGUGUUUUGCCAUGGACUCCGGGUUCUAUCUUUCUUUUAUUUUUAAUUUCUAUGUGUAACUAAGUUAUUUCUAAGGUUUACGAUGAAGCCAUGACAUGAAUAUUUGCAAAGUACUUUGUUAAUUAUUAUCCAAUUAUAUGCCGUGUUAUAUUCUUAAUAUUUGUGGGUAUUUCAUUCUAGGUUCUGAUUUCUAAUGACUAAUCACCUUUAGGAAUUUUGCAUCUAGAUAGUUAGAUAAAUCUAUGAGGAUGACCAAUCAAUUAGGUUUAUUGGAACUAAGAUUAAGAAGAGUAGACAAACUAGUGAGGAUGACCAAUAUCAAGCUAGUCCUACUUGGUUGACAUGAUUCUUCUAUGCUUAAUGGGCUUUUAUGUGUUUAAUUGUAUGCCUAACCAAUAAGAUAUAAUUAUCAUGUAGAGAUACAAGAGUUGAUACUUGACCAUGGAUUGAUUCAUACCUUAGAAAGAACAAUCUUUAACAUUGGCAUAGUAAUUGGAUAGCAGUUGGCUCUAAGAAAGAUAAAUAGGACUGUUGUUGGUGGAUUCAUAACCUUAGACUUCCAUUGUUUUUCAAUUUCUUCUUAUGUCAUGUGUUUAUUUUAAUUAAUUGUCUUUUCUUUUACUGGUCAAUUUUGGUAUUAAUCAAUUAAUCAAUUACUCAAUUAUUCAAUUCAAUCUAUCAUUUGUUUGUUUAAUAAAGUCUAGUGUGAUUAAUCAGUUAAAUUGGUGUUAAAGCAAUCCCUAUGGGAUUGACCUCGUAGUUGCAUAUAUUAUACAAUUGAUUCGUGUUCUUGCGAGUUUAAUUCGGUUUAAAUUAAUAUAUCCUUUAGAUUAGUUUAAAUUUACAUCGCAUAGCCCAUUAUUAUACAACGCUAUCCUUGGCCGGGAGUUGUUACACGUCAUGGAAAAUGUCCCUUUUAAAGAUGGAAUAUCGCCUCGUUACCCCAAAAUGACACCGAGCAGUGAAGAAUUCAGAAAAUGGAGGACUUGUGCCAGAAUGGAGCUUUUGUUGAAGAAAAUCAAAACCCUUGCAUACUGCUUCAGGUGACCUAAAACAAAGUGAAUCUCACAUGAACUACACGCAAUUUGGUCCUUCCUGGGAUAUGUAGGCAGUCCUCUCUGGACCCAAUCGCAACACCGCCAACUGCGCGAAGACAAGUCCAUGGAGAACUCAUCUCCAAACGCCCCACCAUAGGCUUAUCGUCAAAAGUGACCCUUGAUGUAAUUUUUUACAUCUCAUCAUUUUUUUUCCUUAGAACUACAUAAGUGAUUUGAUUCUCCAUCCUGGAGAUAUGUAGGCAAUCCUUCUCAGAUUCAAUCACAUCCUCUUGUCAAUCAACUCUACGUGGAUCAUGAAUAAAGAGCAUCUAUUCGUCUUAAAUAUAUGUUCUUUCUUUAUUUUUGGAUGAUGCAGGAAGUACCCUACUCGUUCAAAAUAGGGCUUAAACUUCGAAAAUUUCACAGCAAUGCAAGUCUAAAAACAUUCAACGUUAUACUAUUAGUGAAGCCUUGUUCAACCCAAUCCAUCUGGAAUGGUUAGCAAUUUGGAAGAUGCACCAUCUGGUCUCCGGAAAGUUUUUGCAACCAGCAAGGUUAUAAAAUUCAAAGCUGAGCUCUAUGCCAUUCAAGGAAAUCGACAGGGCUAUUUGGAACUCAUUCGAGGGUGGCUCUAAAAUCUGACCCCAAGUAUAACUACUUCUAUCCCGAAUAAACUUAAUAAGUCAAGUAAUCUCUGCAACAAAAAGUGUUAGUAGGUUUGAAGGGGGCAUCCAGACAAGGCAUUCCCUGAGAGGACUUUAUUCCAAUGGAGCUCCGAUAUGUGGAAAUGAUUUGGCCCAACCAACCAAGGUAAUCCUAUCAGAAACGCUCAGGUCUAUCGCCUAGGGUCCAACAAAAGGAUUCAAAAAGUAUUUCCGAUCCCCAUGCUGAUGAUCAUGCUCCCAAAGACUUUCGUUUAAGAUUCAGACAGACAUGCAAUCCACUCUGGGAAAAUCACUCCUAGACUACAUUGCAAAUAUUGAGGAUGUUAAUUCAGAAACGGGACAAAAUAUUAAGCAUUUUUGCUAACUUAUUCCUUGCAAGAUACUUCGAGAACAAUGCAGCAAUUUCAAGUCAGAUAAUUGCACAAAUGAGCUUAAAACGAAGGAUUCCAUAUGGCUGUAAAUGCUUGCACUCUUAGUACCAGAGUAAAGUGGUACUCUGGGUAUCACAAUGAGAAUCCUUUAUGGAUGCUAUGUGUGGGAGGUAAUGUUUCUCCAAAUCAAUAUUACUGAGGGGGUUUUUCACUAAAAACUUUGUCCUGGGCCCAAAAACUUACUCGUAUUCUACUCCAUUAUUUAUUAUAUUGUUUAAAGUUUGUACACUUUAGAAACAUUUAUCAAAUUGGGAAUUUCACGUGAAAAAGAUGUACAAGAUGGGAAAAUCUUUACACAAGCACAUAUAUAUCAUUAAAGUCUCAAAGGAGAUCAAUUUAGUAAAAUAGUUUAGGAGAGACAAGCCCCUAGCGAUGAAAUAUUUGAAAAUGACUACAUGAGAUUCUUAAUAAACAUCAUCAGGUUCAGUCGCCGGAUCAGCGAUCUGCUAUGCCUACCUUGCUGCAUACCGCACAUGAUACUACAUUGAAGAUGAGUAUCUUGUGGAAGAUUCGCCAUCGUCAUCAUCUGUACGUGGAGGAAAUGGAGAAACCUGGAGGCGAAUAAUUCACAAGAGCACCCCAUCAUCUUAAAGGAGUCGGCACUAGUACAUGUUCUGCACAAGGUGUCAGGUGAGAAGAGAAUGGAUGAUGGGGCAUUCCAAUGCAAUUCUAGACACUCAAGCCACAUAAGUGCCACACGGGGCGAAUGUUUAAAUGAAGGGCCAUCGCCAUCACCGUCAACAAGCAUCAGAUGAGGAAGAAAGUGGAUAUGGAAAGGCCUUUUAGUGGGUCUCCAUGCUCCAUGCAGAUCCAACUUUUCCAUAAGGCCCAUAUGGAAGCCUUACAAAGGGAUAUAGAGCGAGUUGCACGAAGAAAUGAGAUAUUUUUAGAGAUAUUUAGGGAUUUUCGGCAGGCAGUACAAUUUUCUGGGAUUAAAUUUUUUCUCAGUGAGAGGCUCAUAAAAGAACUAAAGUUAACCAAGAAAAGCACAUGCGUUAUGGCAGAAUAUGAGGAAGGGUUGAAGGAAAACUGCGAUUUGGUAAAACUAUUUAGAGGCAGGUCACCAGAAGAUCCCACUGUUGAAAGUGAAGAGUACCGCAUCUCAGGAUCAAUCCAUACGAUGAUUGAAGUUAAUUAAUAAAAUGCAUGGAAAAGCGACCGCGUAAAGCAGAGGCAUUCAUCAUCAUGUCAAUUGAUCUUUUUUCGUGAUUCUAAGAUUUAUGCGAUGAAAAUCAAAAUGACUCAACUACCCCACUUUAAUGACGAGCCGGACCUAUGUGCAAAGAAUUUGAAGACUAAAUGAUAUGUAUUCCAGCUUACUCCGAAAGACAUGGUCUUUGGUAACAAUCCCUUCUCAAGGGGAACAAGUUGCCUCUCAGAAUUAUAGUUAAAGGCAAUUGCGAAACCAUGAUUUUCAUGGCCAGAGUAAGGCUGAUCUGAAUACAAUUACUUAAGAAGUCCAGUCAUGGGCUCACCAGUUCCGGGACGAGCUAUAUCAGAUAGAGUAGGGUGCCACUAUCAUUCUACUUUAGGGCAUUAAACAGAGUCCUAGCGACUCCACUGGAUGACUAUGCUUGCUCUGCAAGACAGGCGAUCUGAUCUAGAUAUGGACACAAUCAAAUCCUAUAAAUCUUGGAGUCCCUACAAUCUAGGGAUAGGCAUGCGCCGCAAAUAAUCACAAUUCCUAAGAGGAUACAAUAUUUACUUACUAGAUAUCCUCUAGGAUUCUACUAGCUAGAAUGAGGAUUUUAUCCUAAAAUGGUCUCUCUCCCAAGUGUAAAUACACCCAUCUAGGGUUCAUCUAUGGUCGUGCAAUCUAUACACUUGAAUUCUCUUGCUCACUGCUUGAGUCUCAAAUCAUUCGCUUCACCGUCAAAGAGUCUUUGGCUAACACACCCUCCCCCAUCCCGGCAUAAGUUUUGUUUACAGUUGUUUUACUAUUUUGUAGGUUGCUCAGUUUUACUUGGAUUUGUGCUCAACCACAUAUCACAAAUGUUGGAAAUAUGCCCUGAAAGUCAAUCUUUGGAAGAAACCUUUCAGGACAAAUGAAUCAAUGUAUGGAUGACUCUUAUACAUCAAAUGGCAAAGAUACUAAUUAGGACUAUCUCAAUAAACGAUAUAUGUCCUUAUUAAUGAAUCCAUGGACAAUGGAUCGAUUGAAGAAGUAAUCUAAUGAUGUUAGACUACAGAGACCUUCUUCACAUAACCAUUAUGUCCAGAAAGGUUCCUGGUCAUUGGAUUGUCGGAGGGACACUGACAAUGCUUAGACCGGUACAUACUGUGUCCACUUCAAAUGGAAGAAUGGAAAGUCUCAUCCCAUUUGUGUAGUGACACUAAGACAAGUAUGUAGGUGCUCAUUAAGGGAAUGAGUUCACUGAACAUAAUCGAACGAGAGUACUUGCAUGGAGGUUUACUCACAUGUCAAGCAAGUAACUCUAAUGGUUGGAAUAAUGUAAGUAGUCCUUUGACCUGAGGCAUCGUCAUUGUCUUGUGGCUAAGUACUUAAUCUUUGAUUAUGUCAAAGUCACCCCAUUCGCGGAUGUCCACGGCAUAAUUAGGGUUAAGCCACUUAGUCAUGAAGGCAAGUGAAUGCGCAACAAGGAAUCUCUAAUCCUCAAUUAGAGAGGAAGAAUACUCUAAGAUAUGAUUCGGGAAUCUUCGGCCGAAGUAUCGAGCGUAAUAAAGGAAAGCGUUCCUAUACGACUCAAAUGAAUCAUAUAAGAAGGAAUAAUCACAUUAGGGGUUUGACAUAAUAUAUCCAUACCCUAGUAAUGUGAUUGAGAGUAUUGUUUUAGAGAAGGAUCGAAUUACAUUGUAAUUCCAACUGAAUAGGUUAUCCGAACAACUUCUACAUUAGCUUGGGUAGCUAUGACAUAUGGUUAGAUGUCACUCAUAUAGUCAUCAAAGAAGAAAGGUGAAUUAAAAGGAAGUUUUAAUUCACUAAGUGAUUGGAUUAAAUAUAAUCAAUUGGAUUGAUGUCAAUCACCUCACUGCCUUGCUAAUUAGAACCUAAAAUGAUUGUACACCGAUACACUCUUGUAGUGAGUAAUUAAUGAAUGAUGGAAAUAAUUAAUUGGAUUAAUUAAGUGUUGUGAUUAAUUUAGAAAGUCUAAAGAAAUCAUAAAAGCGAUAAAAGAUCGUUUUGGGGUUAAAGAAACGUUCGGGUUUAAUUGGGCCCAUUGGGCCUAAACCCAUUGGGCUUUUAUUCAAGCAUUGGAUGACUAGAAAUAAAUAAAAGCCCAAAGCCCAAACCAACACAAAGGGGCCGGCCCUUUAAAGUGGAGAGGGAGAGAUAUUUAGUCAAGUUGUUGACUAGGUUUCUUUUUGUCUAUAUAAGGAACUUUAUAGAGACUUAAUUCUUAGGGUUUUUUGUGUGUUUUAAAACAACAAAGAGGCAAAAGAAACAUCUCUCUAAAAACCACAAAAGGCCGGCCACCUUGAGGGUGAUUUAGCUAACAAUCUUUCACCCUUUUGGUUAUUCCUCCAUCCAUCUCACUACACUAGUGGGUGUGGAUAUUUAGAGGUCUUCUCCUUUGGAGACUAAAGGAGAACCUUGGAGCACUCUUACUAACAAAGUGGAGGAGGCAAGGAGGGAGGCUAGGCUCAAGGACUUCAAGGAGCAAAGGACUUGGAGGUGGUCCAUCCUUGGUCUAAAAUCAAGAUCAAGAGGUAUAGAUCUAUACUUUCACUUAGUUCUUUACUUGAAUGUUUUAGAUGCAUUAUAUAUAAACCUAUGAACCUUGAAGGGGAUUUGCAUGACUAUAGCUUUGAUAUUAUUUGAUAAAUUGCUUCCGUUGCUCAUGUAUAUAAAUUUUGAAUUGUAUAUGCAUGCUAGUCAUUUAGAAAUCCCAUGUGUUAUAUUCAUAAUUUUCCCUUCAACAAAGGCGCGCAAAUUUGGUUCUAACAAUUAUGAAAUACAAUAUAAGCAUGGGAAAGAUAACAUAGUUAUUGAUGCCCUUUCAUGGGAGUAUGGUUUUCAUAUCCUUCAUGAAGGGAGGAAAAGUACCAGUGGGAUGACUAAGUGUAUGGUAGUCACUUAUCCAUACUUUAGGUGGCCUACAUGAAUUGACAAGGGAAGUGGAUUAAGAUGAGUGGAUUAUUCAGAAGAAUAAGGAAGUACAAAGGGCAACCUUUUCUAAUAUACCAAUGCUUAGCUCCAGUUUAUCCAAGUUUCAAGUCGACAAUGGAUUUCUCAAGUAUAAAGCUAGGAUUGUGAUAAGCCCUACAUCCCAUUCAUGAGCAAAAAUCAUGGAAAAGCACCACUCAACUUGCACAAUUGGUCAUCAAGGAAUUUUGAAGGCAUACCAAAGAAUCAAAAGUGUUUUUAUUGGCCUGGGAUGAAUACAAAAGUCAAGCAAUUUGUGGUUGACUGUCAAGUUUACCAAUUACAUAAACAUGAAACCAUAGCACCGCAGGCUUGCUGCAACCUCUUUCCAUUCCCCUGAAUGCAAACAGAAGUUAGUAUGGAUUUUAUUCUUGGCUUGUCAAGCUACAAAGGGAAGUCUGUGAUUUUAGUAGUGGUGGACAGGUUAACAAAGUAUGCAUACUUCAUUGCAUUGUCUUAUCCAUGCACGGCUGCAUUAUAGCUCAGCUUUUUCUGGGGCAUGUGUUCAAAUUACAUGGGAGAUUCACUUUUAGUACCGCUUCUUACUAUAACAAAAAGACUUGUUGGAAAUAUGGUGCAACCAAGAUAGGCAUAGGAGUCUUUGGGCAUUCCUUGGACUAAUUACAACUUGAGUAGAGAUAAGGGGCUUGGCAUUGUGGAAGUAGAUGACUAAAUUAAGUCUCGUUGUCCCACACAACAGAGUACCAUCUUUCCUUCUGUCCUUUCGUAUCAAACUUAAAGAAAACGUGGUUUCCCGGACUAUAGUGCGCCGCCUCCUCCACCCUCCCUAAAAGAUUUUUACAAAACCCAACGAUUGCCCUAUUGAGCGCUAACAGUUCAAUGCGCUCAUAAAAGGUUAUGUCGGGAAGGGUGUGUGGUGAAUGACAGGGACCCCAUUUUCCUCAACAACUGUUGGAGAGAAUUUUUCCAAGUUACAAGGUUCUACUUUUAUGGGUAUCAGCCUUAAUCUGAUGGCGAAACUGAGGUGAUGAGUAGGAAUCUAAAGACUUAUCUUAGAUGUUUUGUUGGAGCACAACCUCAAAUAUGGGCCCAAUGGUUAGCCUGGGUUAAGGGAACUAAAACACCCCACAACUAAGUCCACACCCUUUGAACUAGUUUAUAGUUACUCACCUUCCUACAAUGCUUCUUAUAAAUAGAAAUCAACUAAAAUGGAUGUGGUUGAGCAAAGCUUGCUGGAUAGGGAUAAAAUGUUGUCCAUUAUUAAAUCCAACUUGGUUUUGGCACAAAACAGAAUGAAGGUUCAGGAAGACAAGCACAAAAUUGGAAGGGAGUUUGCUAUGAGGGAUUUGGUGUAUUUGAAGUUGGUACCUUACUAGCUACAAUCACUAAACUCACAUUCCCAUCACAAGUUACAUCCAAGAUUUUGUGGGCCAUGAGGUUUUACAGAGGAUUGGUGAGGUAGCCUACAAACUCAAGUUGCCAGCCAAUACAAAAAUCAUGUCUUCCAUGUAGGGAUAGGCAACAGUUAUAGCAAGCUAGUAACCGCAGUUAUUUACGCAUAAUCAUUUAUGUUCAAACCCACAUAACCGUUUACCGUUAGGUAAUUGCAUAAAUGGUUAUACUCAUACCCAUAAUCGUUUAUAAAUGGUUAACAAUACCCAUAACCGAGUACCUAUUUAACCAUAACCAUUUACCCAUUUAACCAUAACCAUCUACCCGUUUUUGAAUCUGUUUAUCAUUUUUUUACCCAUUUACCCAUUUUUCAUCCGUUUACAUGUUUUUUUUAACAACUUGAAAAUUACAAAAGAAUUUUUUUUUGUUUUCUGACAAUUAAACACUGUUAAAGGUACAUUUUAGCAUGUAUUUCCCUAUUUAAAUCAUUUAAGUCCUCAUACAAUUCCAAUAAUUGAAAUAAUAGUUUACGAAUGAUAUUUUUCUGCUACACCCAAGCAAGUCUUUAAUUAUAAUCCAUAUGAUUAGAAAGUAAAGCUUCUAAAACAAAAAGUACUCAUUAUCUUGAAUACUAGAUGAUUCAAAGCUCCAAAAUAUUCCAAAACUAAAUACUUUCGAACACUAAUGCUUUAGCACGAUCAAUCACAAAAUCUCAUCAACUCGUUGUCACCGAAAGAGGUCUACAAAGGAAAUAUAUAAAUUCAAUAGUAUCCCAUUUAGGAACACCGGCACCAAUUAGCAUGAAUCCAACAAAGGUAAGUGAUCGCAUAAGGUUUACAUUGUACACUUAGUUAUCAGACAAAAAAAAAACAAAACAAAAUUAAAUAAAACAAAAAGCAAACAAAAGCAGUGUACCAAAUCAAUUGAGUUAGUAUCACCAUUCAUCAAUAUGCAUAAACAAAAGGUUUACAUUCCAUGAUUUUUCACACACCCAUAUGCAUAAAUUGAAUUAUUAUCGCCAAUAACUCCAAAGUAAAAAACAAAGGAUUAGUGAGGUAGCCUACAAACUCAAGUUGCCAACUAAUACAAAAAUACAUCAUGUCUUCCAUGUGAGCUGUUUAAAAAGCAUUUGGGAACACAAGUGACUACUGCAACAACUCUUCCAGAAGUAAGUGAUGAUGGCAUGGUGAUGGAAGCCCCCUUUGCAGUGUUGAGUAGAAGAAUGUACGAGAGAGGGAAUACUACAGGGGUCCAAGUGCUACUACAGUGGGUAGGCCAUACUAAAGAAGGAGCAACCUGGGAACAUUAUGAUGUUUUUGUUUCUCCAUUUCCUGAUAUCAAAUUCUAAAACCUAGUGAACAAGGUUUUGCUUGAGGGAGGGGUAAUGUUAUGAUCUGUGAUUAGCUCAAUCACAAUCAAUAACUAAUUAGUUAAUUGGGGAGUAAUUAGUUAAGUGGUUUUGGCUUCCAACUGGCAAGUGAUGUAUAGGCUGUAUAUGCACACACUUUGGGUGUGAUUUUGGUCAAUGGUCAUUUUGAAUUAAAUAUAGUAUUACAAAAACAAGUGGAGCUCAGCUCUCUCUUCUCUCCUUCCGUCCUCUUCCUCCAUUGUUACUGUGAUACUUGCAGGUUGAGUAAGGGUUAGAUUUUGUCAUAACAAGCCACAGAGUAAGAAGAACAUGAAAGCUACUCUGUGAGAGAGCGAGAACAUGAAAAUCCAGGGUUAAUUCCCAAUUCUGACUUACCAAGUUACCAGUAUAAACAUAUAUUCUAGCAGCGUAAUUCGAUUCCAAUGUCACUUGUGUGCAAUUGAUCUUUCCUCUUUAUUAGUUUUGUCCUUGUAAUAGCUUUUUCCAUGUUAACUAACUCAUCUUUCAUGGAAAUAUGCAUGAUUUUCCUUUCAGAUACAAUCUGUAAGAGACGUCAACUAAACUCAUCAUCUGCAACAAAAAUAACCCUAGCGAUCACAAUUACUUUCUCAAGGGAGCAAUUCAUGUUUAAGGAAAGGCCUCCUUUAUUCUUCUUGUUACAUUAUUACAUAUAUUUACGUAUCUCACUUUCUAUAGCACACACACGCACACAUACAUAUAAUAACAAAUAUAAGGUAUACAAAGAAUUCCUCUAUCUAACUUGGAAGUUGAGUUUCCUAAUGCAAAAGGCAAACAUGAAGGCGAAGAAGACUCCGAAUCCAACUAGAACUCCAGCCACUGGUCCCUUGAAAUCUGAUUCAAAUCCGUAACGGUCUUUUAGGUACCAUUUCACAGUUGGGUCAGGUGUAUACCCAGGUGCUUUAAUGGUCUCCUCAAUGUCACCAUACUGUGUUACAAUCAAUCCAUACACCGUCCAUGCCACGGGACAUAUCCAGUAGUACCAAAUCCACCAACCGGGUAUUUUCUGAAAAUUCAAAAGAUAAAGAAUUCGUGUUAACAUACUUUUAUAACGAGUUUUAGUCACUUCAUCACCGCUGGGGACAAAAAUCGAAUCACCAACUGUUAAAUCAAAAUCCGAUAGUUGAGAUGCAAACUCGAUUCAGAACACUUAACCAUUGGAUUUUAAUCAGUUGGAAAAUGAUUGCUGUGAUUUUGUUGAUCAAUUUAGACCAAUAAAUCACAGUAUCAUUAUAAUCCAAUUUAAAUUGAAGUAUAUGCUUGUGGGAAGAAGAAUACUAGUACUUACUGGUCUUGGAAUGAAGAAACCGGAGAAGAGAUUGAAGACUGAAUAGAAAGCUGCGGCGAAUAUGGCUGCUACUUGGUGGUUCGGUGUGAUGGAAACGGUCAUCAUGCCGUAGUAUGUGAAGUAAAGGAAGGAGAAGAAGUUGAUAAAGAAGAACCAGAAGAAUUUUCCUGCUUCCCAUUGGAAGCUCACCAUAGCAUACACUAUCAGUGUAUAAUACGUGGUCUGGAUAAACACAUAUGGUAUUUCAAUAAUGACCUGCAUGUCAUACAAAUGGUUUAUUUGAGUCAGUCAGAUGACAAUUAUUUCUAUAGCAACAAAUAUCGAUUUAUAAUAGUGUUAUAUAUGAAACUAGGAUCAAUACUAUAUAUGUGUAAAAUAUGAGUUAACGUAAGUAUUUAUUCUCCCUUCACCUGUGCCAGUGCAUAAGGUAAUGCAGAGUACAUCCCAGCAGCUCUUUCUCGAUAGAAAACUGUUCUUUCAAUGGCGACAAUGGGUUGCACCGUUGUGCAGUUAUCAAAUCCGACGAAAAAGACAGCAGCGUACAUAGCCCCGAUAACCAUGUUCAUAUCAGAACUGCUUUCGCUGCAUAAGGAGAAAUAUAUAAUUAGCAAGAAAUUGGUGUAUGGAAACUCCUGAACGAAAACUUUUAUUGUCAAAAUAAUGAGUACUAGUUGAAGUUUGAAAUAGUUAAGCUUUGAGAUAAGCACACACAUUUUUGAGCCAAUAUCCCAGAAAAUAGAUCCAACGAGAAGGGCUGCUGCCAAGGUAAAAAAGAAUCUGACAAGGUUAUAAUCAGGACUUCUCCAAUAAGUCCACCACUGCUUCCAGAGGCAAGACUGGAAUUGCUUCCAUGACGGCUGAGAAAACUGAGUGGGAAAAUAGAGGUCGUUUGCUCCUGCUGGUGGUGUGCUCAACUCAUUUACUAAAGCUUUGUUUCUCCUGGUCAUAAAUAUUGGAAUAUAAGUUUUAUAUUUUCCAAAAACCUGCCAAUUCCAAACCUAAAUAGUAUUAUUUUCAAUUUUUUUCUACUUACUGAUGCAAGGCAGAUGAUUUGUAGAAUUGAGCAAAGUCCAUUCCAAGCCGGACCUCAAUUGAUGUUGAGCUCGCCUCAAGCAUCCAUGUAGCUGGAUUGUACUUCUCCUUGAUUUUUGGCACGCCAGGAACCGCCUGGAAUUAAGUUGGUAAGUUUACACUUGGAUGACAAUGCCUUUGAUUAUUUCUCUGUGCAAAAUUAAGAUACGAAAAAAGUUGCACGCAGAUAAAAUACCUCAAAAUAUUCAACAAUCUUGUGAGAAUUGCGGCCCAGUGGUCCUAAGUAGAUAACUUGUCCUCCUCUCUUCAUCAGUAGUAGCUCAUCGAAUGCCUCAAAGAUAUCUAUGCUAGGCUGAUGAAUUGUGCAAACAACUGUUCUCCCAGUGUCCACCGUAUUUCUAACAGUCCUCAUAACGAUGGCAGCUGCCCUUGCAUCAAGACCUGAUGUUGGUUCAUCCAUGAAAAUGAUUGAGGGAUUGGCAACAAGCUCAACUGCAAUCGUUAACCUCUUUCUUUGUUCUGUUGACAGCCCUGAAACUCCGGGAAGCCCUACUAAAGCAUCUUUAAGAUUGUCCAGCUCAACCAGUUCCAUCACUUGAUCUACAAAAAUCUGCAAACAUAUAUAGUAUAUACAGUUCAGCAUUUAAAUAAUUGCACUAUGCUUUGUUCAGAGAAGCAGUGCAAGUCAUGGUUUUACCAUCUUUUCCUCGUUGCUGACUUCUUUAGGGAGUCUAAGGAAAGCUGAGUAAACCAACGAUUCUUUGAUAGUGACUUGGGGUGAGUGGAUAUCAGUUUGUUCACAGUAACCAGAAAUUCUUGCAAAGGUUUCUUGCUUCUUAGGGUACCCAGAAAUUCUAAUGUCACCUUCAAUGUAACCUCCGGUCUUUCUUCCUGCUAAGACAUCCAUCAAAGUUGUCUUCCCAGCUCCACUUACCCCCAUUAGGGCAGUCAAGACCCCAGGCCUAAAUGCACCAGUUACUUCACGAAGUAGUUGCAGCCUGUCCUCUGCUACUCCUUCUUCCUUCAUUUCCUGUUAUAGUGAACUAAGUUAGCUAAUUAAGUAGUGAAGUUGGACUACAAGAUAAUGUUUCAGAUAAACAAGGAGUGAAAUACAGAAAAAGAAAUAUUACAGCGGGCAUGUCCACGAAAUAAUUAACACUGUCGAAGGACAUUGCAAGAGGUGUGAAAGGUAAAACCAUUCCUCUCUUGGGGGCAACGCCACCAGAGACUUCGAGAGACGAAUCAGCAUUUCUAUCUAGUCCACUAGAGCUGGAUCGACUGCUCAUUCGUCGGACUUCCAUUUCUCCUACAGAAAAGUUUAAUCCAAUAACAAACUCGGAUAACAUAUGCUCACAUUACACUUGACGAUAUUUUUCUGUUUCUUACUUGUAUUGUUUCCAUCAGUAGAAGAUAAUGAUCGAGGCAAAGAAACAUUCUUGGAUGGGGGUCUUCUCAGUCUUGGCUCUUCCUUUGAUUCUUCUUGGUCUAGCUCCAUUUCAUUUGCCGCCUCUUCAGAUAUGAUGGCUUGUGGCUUUCCAGGAGCUAAUUUAAUAAAACAAAACCAUGAAAAACUGUAACUUUGAAAGUACAAACGAAAGAAGCUCCAUGUAGACAUAAAAAGGAAUAUUGACUCUUACCACUUAGGUACAUAAGGGAGACCGUAUAAAGGGAGUUGAAGAGAACAAUAAACCCCAGAAGAGCGCCAGAACCAAUCCAAAACCAGUUUUUGUUGUGGUAAACAUCAAAGUUAUUAAGCACUGCCUCACCCACCCUGGUAACAUUAUCUAAAGCCUGCAGCACAAGGAAGUUCGAUGCAGAAGCUUAGCCUUUUCGUUAAGUUAAACAAAUGUAGCGCAUGAAUGACAUGUGCAAGGAAGAGCCUAAGUUUAUCAUACCAGUUUGUUCAUCCACCUCGGAGCAUACAUUUCAUUUACAGAGAUAGCAUUGAAGCCAUAUGUCAAAGGUGAAACCCAGUAUGCCCACGUCCACCAGUUUGGAAUUUGACCUGUCACAAAUGAAGCAACUCGUUGAAUAUUCAGUGAAAUACUAAUUUGGUCCCUUUUUGUUAGUUUUUGACUAUUUUUUUAAAGCUAAAUUUGCAACUCAAACUAACCUCUUGGAAUUAUGAAACCUCCAAGCAAGAAAAGAAUUAGAAGAGUAAGAGUCCCGCCAGUGUUGGAUAUGAUCAUGGUCCUGCUA
This 41656-nucleotide long non-coding RNA is filed under the name Malus domestica (apple). RNAcentral's name for it is "long non-coding RNA (MDOM_LNC008225)". The record is from RNAcentral. Lineage: Eukaryota; Viridiplantae; Streptophyta; Magnoliopsida; Rosales; Rosaceae.